AUUGAACGCUGGCGGCGUGCUUAACACAUGCAAGUCGAUCGGUAACAGGUGUAGCAAUACAUGCUGACGAGAGGCGGACGGGUGAGUAAUGCUUGGGAAUCUGCCUAUUAGUGGGGGACAACCCGGGGAAACUCGGGCUAAUACCGCAUACGCUCUACGGAGGAAAGCCGGGGACCGCAAGGCCUGGCGCUAAUAGAUGAGCCCAAGUCGGAUUAGCUAGUUGGUAGGGUAACGGCCUACCAAGCGACAAUCCGUAGCUGGUCUGAGAGGACGACCAGCCACACCGGAACUGAGACACGGUCCGGACUCCUACGGGAGGCAGCAGUGGGGAAUAUUGGACAAUGGGGGCAACCCUGAUCCAGCGACGCCGCGUGGGUGAAGAAGGCCUGCGGGUUGUAAAGCCCUUUCGGUGGGGAAGAAAAGUCUCGACCUAAUACGUCGGGACCUUGACGUAACCCACUAAAGAAGCACCGGCUAACUCUGUGCCAGCAGCCGCCGUAAC
This 502-nucleotide ribosomal RNA is filed under the name uncultured bacterium. Its description in RNAcentral is "bacterial SSU rRNA". It matches the Rfam family "Bacterial small subunit ribosomal RNA", at positions 29 to 524 of the family's 1533-position model. The record is from RNAcentral.